AAUAGGUGCAACCAUGAGUUUUCGCGCCUAACUUAUUUAAAAUUUUUUAUAAUUAGUAUUUUUGUUGUUAUGAGAUGAUAAAGCAUGAAUAGUACUUUACUCGUGACUUAUGUUUUUAACUUUUUUUAAAAAAUUUUUAAAUAAGACGAACGGUCAAAGUUAGAUACGAAAAACUAUGGCUGUAUUUAUU
Molecule: microRNA precursor, 190 nt
Organism: Oryza sativa Indica Group (long-grained rice)
Lineage: Eukaryota; Viridiplantae; Streptophyta; Magnoliopsida; Poales; Poaceae
Rfam family: MIR812 microRNA precursor family
Source: Rfam